Molecule: long non-coding RNA, 773 nt
Organism: Cucurbita maxima (winter squash)
Lineage: Eukaryota; Viridiplantae; Streptophyta; Magnoliopsida; Cucurbitales; Cucurbitaceae
Exons: 2
Source: RefSeq, a predicted model, not a curated record
UAGAAUGCUCUUUACUUCCGCCGUUGGAUCCAAUGUGGGCGUUGGAAGAGAUGAGUUCGAUCAGAUCGUUCGUUUCCAGAGAAGAAGCGGGUUAUCGGUGGCAAGGAUUUGUGUUCAUCGUCGUCAGCUUCGUUUUCCUUCUGCUAUUUCUCUAUGCCGCGAUCAUUUCUAAGCUUCUUUCGCCUUCGGACAAUGCCUUCUUAUCUGCUAUUCAGAACGACUGGUAUUACUGUCUCCUGGUGCCCUUGACAUUACCUAUCCUCUAUGCUGCCGUUUAUUUCCAUUGGCUCAGCAUGAAACUAUUCAAGCAUGCUUGAAAGUGGUCAGCUAAUGAACUAUCCAACCAAGUUGAGUGUCUCAGUUUGAUUAAAUUACAAUGUGAUGUGUUCCGAGCUUCCGUAGCCGAGAUGAUCGAGGAUGUACUUGUAUUCUACCGGAGGCUGUAUAUCGUGCAAGAGAAUUCGAUAUCGGCGGGUCUUAUCAUAGUAAAAUCUGUUCAUUUUGGUUGAAUGAUGAGAACAUGAGAUAUUCAAACUAAGCUGAAAGGCCAAAGAGUGGUUUAAACUCACAUUGAAUGACUUGGUGAAUGCAUCUAAGCACAAGCUUUAUGACCUAAGGUGAGCAUCUCCAAAGACAAUCUAGGGAAGACCAACUUGGGUUGUGGUUGGCGAGGAGAUACUUGAUUCUUGAAAAUUGCUUCAUUGUUGGACAUGCCACUUUUGGUAAUGCUUUGAUAUAUACCAAAAUUUGUCCAUUUUGUUAUCAAAGGUGCU